AGAGUUUGAUCCUGGCUGAGAACGAACACUGGCGGCGUGGUUUAGGCAUGCCAGUCGAACGAGAAAGUUCCCUUCGGGGAACGAGUACAGUGGCGAACGGGUGAGUAACGCGUGGGAAACCUGCCCUUCAACGGGGGAUAACAGUUCUAACGAGCUGCUAAUACCGCAUACGACCUGAAGACCGCAUGGUUUGCAGGUGAAAGGUGGCCUCUCUCUGAAGCUGCCGAUGAAGGAUGGUCCCGCGUCCCAUUAGCUAGUUGGUGAGGUAACGGCUCACCAAGGCGACGAUGGGUAGCCGGCCUGAGAGGGUGUCCGGCCACACUGGGACUGAGAUACGGCCCAGACUCCUACGGGAGGCAGCAGUCGAGAAGCUUCGGCAAUGGGCGAAAGCCUGACCGAGCGACGCCGCGUGAGUGAAGAAGGCCCUAUGGGUUGUAAAACUCUGUCAGAUUGGGAAGAAAAUUCCACGGUUAAUACCCGUGGGACUUGACGGUACCAUCAGAGGAAGCACCGGCUAACUCCGUGCCAGCAGCCGCGGUAAUACGGAGGGUGCAAGCGUUGUUCGGAUUCACUGGGUAUAAAGGGUGCGCAGGCGGCCUGGUAAGUCAGAGGUGAAAUAUGACGGCUUAACCGUCAAACUGCCUCUGAAACUGCCAGGCUUGAGUCCGGGAGAGGAAGGUGGAAUUCCAGGUGUAGCGGUGAAAUGCGUAAAUAUCUGGAGGAACACCGGUGGCGAAGGCGGCCAUCUGGCGCUGAACUGACGCUGAGGCGCGAAAGCGUGGGGAGCAAACAGGAUUAGAUACCCUGGUAGUCC
This 814-nucleotide ribosomal RNA is filed under the name uncultured bacterium. Its description in RNAcentral is "bacterial SSU rRNA". It matches the Rfam family "Bacterial small subunit ribosomal RNA", at positions 8 to 796 of the family's 1533-position model. The record is from RNAcentral.